RNAcentral lists this ribosomal RNA (301 nucleotides) under uncultured bacterium. Its description in RNAcentral is "partial 16S ribosomal RNA". It matches the Rfam family "Bacterial small subunit ribosomal RNA", at positions 509 to 807 of the family's 1533-position model. The record is from RNAcentral.
CAGUAGCCGCGGGAAUACGUAGGUGGCAAGCGUUGUCCGGAAUUAUUGGGCGUAAAGGGCUCGCAGGCGGUUUCUUAAGUCUGAUGCGAAAGCCCCCGGCUCAACCGGGGAGGGUCAUUGGAAACUGGGAAACUUGAGUGCAGAAGAGGAGAGUGGAAUUCCACGUGUAGCGGUGAAAUGCGUAGAGAUGUGGAGGAACACCAGUGGCGAAGGCGACCCUCUGGUCUGUAACUGACGCUGAGGAGCGAAAGCGUGGGGAGCGAACAGGAUUAGAUACCCCAGUAGUCCCUGUCUCUUAUAC